UUGUCAUGUGUGCGAGUCAACGGGCUAGUAAACCCAUAAGGGAUAAGGAAGCGGAUUGCUGGGAUCCUUCUGAGGGGUGCACCGCUGACCGACGAUGAUCUUCUGAGAAGGGUUCGAGUGUGAGCAUACCUGCCGGGACUCGAAAGAUGGUGAACUCUGCCUGAGCGAGGCGAAUCCAUAGUAAACUCUGGGGGAGGCCCGUAGCGAUACUGACGUGCAAAUUGUUUGUCUGACUUGGGUAUAGGGGCGAACACUAUGUAGAACCAAAAUAAAACCCUG
Solanum tuberosum (potato) is the source of this 279-nucleotide non-coding RNA. Lineage: Eukaryota; Viridiplantae; Streptophyta; Magnoliopsida; Solanales; Solanaceae. The record is from Rfam.